AAGUCGUAACAAGGUUUCCGUAGGUGAACCUGCGGAAGGAUCAUUAUCGAAUAAACUUGGCGUGGUUGUUGCUGGCUUCUAGGAGCAUGUGCACACCCGUCACCUUUAUCUUUCCACCUGUGCACACUUUGUAGGCUCUGGGAUUAUCUCUCGCGCACUCUUGUAGUGUUGCGGAUGCGAAGGUUGUCGCGCCCUCACAGGCCGGCUUCCCUCGAAUGUCCCAGGUCUAUGUUUAUUAACACACCCCUAUCGAAUGUAUAAAAGAAUGUUGAUUUCAAAGGGCUCUGCCCAUAUAGAAACUCAAUACAACUUUCAGCAACGGAUCUCUUGGCUCUC
Molecule: unclassified non-coding RNA, 336 nt
Filed under: air metagenome
Description: partial contains small subunit ribosomal RNA, internal transcribed spacer 1, and 5.8S ribosomal RNA
Rfam family: Eukaryotic small subunit ribosomal RNA (bases 1-46)
Source: RNAcentral